AAAAUUAAUAGUGUCCCCACAAAUACUACUAAGGAAAAGCCCUUACUAUUUACUACUUCAAAGACAAUGUUUUGAAACCUGAUUAAUACUACUAGGAAUUUCUAAGUUUCCAAGUAAAUUAUCACAGUGUUUUUCAUCUCAGUAUUGACUAUGCUAUAUUUACAGGUACCCGGUGGUCAAGAGAUUAUGAUGUGUUUAUGGUUUUGAUCUUGAUAUUCUGCAAGUAUCCAGGUAUUCAGGUUCCUUUCAAGAGGUCAUAGUGAACUUAACAAUGGGUCGUUAAUGGGGG
Molecule: long non-coding RNA, 289 nt
Filed under: Microcebus murinus (gray mouse lemur)
Lineage: Eukaryota; Metazoa; Chordata; Mammalia; Primates; Cheirogaleidae
Description: lncRNA (ENSMICG00000048763.1)
Source: RNAcentral